RNAcentral lists this ribosomal RNA (253 nucleotides) under uncultured bacterium. RNAcentral describes it as "partial 16S ribosomal RNA". It matches the Rfam family "Bacterial small subunit ribosomal RNA", at positions 524 to 776 of the family's 1533-position model. The record is from RNAcentral.
UACAGAGGGGGCAAGCGUUGUUCGGAAUUACUGGGCGUAAAGGGCUGGUAGGCGGCCAACUAAGUCGGAUGUGAAAUCCCCAGGCUUAACCUGGGAACUGCAUCCGAUACUGGUCGGCUUGAAUCCGGGAGAGGGAUGCAGAAUUCCAGGUGUAGCGGUGAAAUGCGUAGAUAUCUGGAGGAAUACCGGUGGCGAAGGCGGCAUCCUGGACCGGCAUUGACGCUGAGACGCGAAAGCGUGGGGAGCGAACAGG